Long non-coding RNA from Humulus lupulus (European hop), 214 nucleotides. RefSeq lists it as uncharacterized. The transcript has 3 exons. The record is from RefSeq and is a predicted model, not a curated record. NCBI's taxonomy places the organism in Eukaryota, Viridiplantae, Streptophyta, Magnoliopsida, Rosales, Cannabaceae.
UUGGAAAAAUCUUGUCUUGAAAAGAAUUUGGAUAUGAGACUCGGUGUAGUCACCAAAGAAACUAAACCUGGUCUAACUGGUUGUUGAGAUCAUCUGCACUUUGGUCAGGAAAUUAUCUCCUAAUCCUAAUAGUGCUGCUAUAAUGGCCAUGGGUGUUAACAUCUUGGCAAAGAGAUUGAAAUGAUUGGGGUUCUUGAUUGAGUUUCUAUCCCAU